Molecule: microRNA, 21 nt
Filed under: Ciona intestinalis (vase tunicate)
Lineage: Eukaryota; Metazoa; Chordata; Ascidiacea; Phlebobranchia; Cionidae
Description: cin-miR-4180-5p
Source: miRBase by way of RNAcentral
UCUGCCAUACCCUGAGACUUU